RNAcentral lists this transfer RNA (85 nucleotides) under Clostridium sp. RNAcentral's name for it is "tRNA-Leu". It matches the Rfam family "tRNA". Rfam says of the family: Transfer RNA (tRNA) molecules are approximately 80 nucleotides in length. Their secondary structure includes four short double-helical elements and three loops (D, anti-codon, and T loops). The record is from RNAcentral. Lineage: Bacteria; Bacillati; Bacillota; Clostridia; Eubacteriales; Clostridiaceae.
GUACCCGUGUUGGAAUUUGGUAGACAUGUCUGACUUAGAAUCAGAUGCAUAUAGCGUAAGAGUUCGAAUCUCUUCGGGUGCACCA